RNAcentral lists this ribosomal RNA (520 nucleotides) under uncultured Glomus. Its description in RNAcentral is "SSU rRNA". It matches the Rfam family "Eukaryotic small subunit ribosomal RNA", at positions 569 to 1091 of the family's 1831-position model. Lineage: Eukaryota; Fungi; Glomeromycota; Glomeromycetes; Glomerales; Glomeraceae. The record is from RNAcentral.
AGCAGCCGCGGUAAUUCCAGCUCCAAUAGCGUAUAUUAAAGUUGUUGCAGUUAAAAGCUCGUAGUUGAAUUUCGGGGUUAGUAGGUUGGUCAUGCCUCUGGUAUGUACUGGUCUCACUGAUUCCUCCUUCCUGAUGAGCCGUAAUGCCAUUAAUUUGGUGUUGCGGGGAAUUUGGACUGUUACUUUGAAAAAAUUAGAGUGUUUAAAGCAGGCUCACGCUUGAAUACAUUAGCAUGGAAUAAUGAAAUAGGACGUUUGAUUCUAUUUUGUUGGUUUCUAGGAUCGACGUAAUGAUUAAUAGGGAUAGUUGGGGGCAUUAGUAUUCAAUUGUCAGAGGUGAAAUUCUUGGAUUUAUUGAAGACUAACUACUGCGAAAGCAUUUGCCAAGGAUGUUUUCAUUAAUCAAGAACGAAAGUUAGGGGAUCGAAGACGAUCAGAUACCGUCGUAGUCUUAACCAUAAACUAUGCCGACUAGGGAUCGGAUGAUGUUAAUUUUUUAAUGACUCAUUCGGCGCCUUAC